This 492-nucleotide ribosomal RNA is filed under the name uncultured bacterium. RNAcentral's name for it is "partial 16S ribosomal RNA". It matches the Rfam family "Bacterial small subunit ribosomal RNA", at positions 29 to 507 of the family's 1533-position model. The record is from RNAcentral.
AGUGAACGCUGGCGGUAGGCCUAACACAUGCAAGUCGAACGGCAGCACAGUAAGAGCUUGCUCUUACGGGUGGCGAGUGGCGGACGGGUGAGGAAUACAUCGGAAUCUACUUUUUCGUGGGGGAUAACGUAGGGAAACUUACGCUAAUACCGCAUACGACCUACGGGUGAAAGCAGGGGAUCUUCGGACCUUGCGCGAUUGAAUGAGCCGAUGUCGGAUUAGCUAGUUGGCGGGGUAAAGGCCCACCAAGGCGACGAUACGUAGCUGGUCUGAGGGGAUGAUCAGCCACACUGGAACUGAGACACGGUCCAGACUCCUACGGGAGGCAGCAGUGGGGAAUAUUGGACAAUGGGCGCAAGCCUGAUCCAGCCAUACCGCGUGGGUGAAGAAGGCCUUCGGGUUGUAAAGCCCUUUUGUUGGGAAAGAAAAGCAGCAGGUUAAUACCCCGCUGUUCUGACGGUACCCAAAGAAUAAGCACCGGCUAACUUCGUG